CAGGCUUAACACAUGCAAGUCGAGGGGCAGCAUGGUCUUAGCUUGCUAAGGCCGAUGGCGACCGGCGCACGGGUGAGUAACACGUAUCCAACCUGCCGUCUACUCUUGGACAGCCUUCUGAAAGGAAGAUUAAUACAAGAUGGCAUCAUGAGUCCGCAUGUUCACAUGAUUAAAGGUAUUCCGGUAGACGAUGGGGAUGCGUUCCAUUAGAUAGUAGGCGGGGUAACGGCCCACCUAGUCUUCGAUGGAUAGGGGUUCUGAGAGGAAGGUCCCCCACAUUGGAACUGAGACACGGUCCAAACUCCUACGGGAGGCAGCAGUGAGGAAUAUUGGUCAAUGGGCGAGAGCCUGAACCAGCCAAGUAGCGUGAAGGAUGACUGCCCUAUGGGUUGUAAACUUCUUUUAUAAAGGAAUAAAGUCGGGUAUGGAUACCCGUUUGCAUGUACUUUAUGAAUAAGGAUCGGCUAACUCCGUGCCAGCAGCCGCGGUAAUACGGAGGAUCCGAGCGUUAUCCGGAUUUAUUGGGUUUAAAGGGAGCGUAGAUGGAUGUUUAAGUCAGUUGUGAAAGUUUGCGGCUCAACCGUAAAAUUGCAGUUGAUACUGGAUAUCUUGAGUGCAGUUGAGGCAGGCGGAAUUCGUGGUGUAGCGGUGAAAUGCUUAGAUAUCACGAAGAACUCCGAUUGCGAAGGCAGCCUGCUAAGCUGCAACUGACAUUGAGGCUCGAAAGUGUGGGUAUCAAACAGGAUUAGAUACCCUGGUAGUCCACACGGUAAACGAUGAAUACUCGCUGUUUGCGAUAUACUGCAAGCGGCCAAGCGAAAGCGUUAAGUAUUCCACCUGGGGAGUACGCCGGCAACGGUGAAACUCAAAGGAAUUGACGGGGGCCCGCACAAGCGGAGGAACAUGUGGUUUAAUUCGAUGAUACGCGAGGAACCUUACCCGGGCUUAAAUUGCAGAUGAAUUACGGUGAAAGCCGUAAGCCGCAAGGCAUCUGUGAAGGUGCUGCAUGGUUGUCGUCAGCUCGUGCCGUGAGGUGUCGGCUUAAGUGCCAUAACGAGCGCAACCCUUGUUGUCAGUUACUAACAGGUUCCGCUGAGGACUCUGACAAGACUGCCAUCGUAAGAUGUGAGGAAGGUGGGGAUGACGUCAAAUCAGCACGGCCCUUACGUCCGGGGCUACACACGUGUUACAAUGGGGGGUACAGAGGGCCGCUACCACGCGAGUGGAUGCCAAUCCCCAAAACUUCUCUCAGUUCGGACUGGAGUCUGCAACCCGACUCCACGAAGCUGGAUUCGCUAGUGAUCGCGCAUCAGCCACGGCGCGGUGAAUACGUUCCCGGGCCUUGUACACACCGCCCGUCAAGCCAUGGGAGCCGGGGGUACCUGAAGUGCGUAACCGCGAGGAGCGCCCUAGGGUAAAACUGGUGACUGGGGCUAAGUCAUAAC
Molecule: ribosomal RNA, 1445 nt
Filed under: uncultured organism
Description: 16S ribosomal RNA
Rfam family: Bacterial small subunit ribosomal RNA
Source: RNAcentral